Molecule: ribosomal RNA, 497 nt
Filed under: uncultured bacterium
Lineage: Bacteria
Description: partial 16S ribosomal RNA
Rfam family: Bacterial small subunit ribosomal RNA
Source: RNAcentral
GAUGAACGCUGGCGGCGUGCCUAAUACAUGCCAGUCGAGCGAACGGACGAGAAGCUUGCUUCUCUGAUGUUAGCGGCGGACGGGUGGGUAACACGUGGAUAACCUACCUAUAAGACUGGGAUAACUUCGGGAAACCGGAGCUAAUACCGGAUAAUAUUUUGAACCGCAUGGUUCAAAAGUGAAAGACGGUCUUGCUGUCACUUAUAGAUUGAUCCGCGCUGCAUUAGCUAGUUGGUAAGGUAACGGCUUACCAAGGCAACGAUGCAUAGCCGACCUGAGAGGGUGAUCGGCCACACUGGAACUGAGACACGGUCCAGACUCCUACGGGAGGCAGCAGUAGGGAAUCUUCCGCAAUGGGCGAAAGCCUGACGGAGCAACGCCGCGUGAGUGAUGAAGGUCUUCGGAUCGUAAAACUCUGUUAUUAGGGAAGAACAUAUGUGUAAGUAACUGUGCACAUCUUGACGGUACCUAAUCAGAAAGCCACGGCUAACUACGUG